UCUUAUCGAGUUCUAAGAAAUGAAUUUCUUAAUUCAUUAAAGAUAAUAAAAGACUUUAUGUGCUUAUGUGUUAAAUUAUGUGCUCGCUAGUACGGAUUAGUAACUAAAACUUAAAAUUUUGUUGUCAGGAUGUCGGAUGUUGGAGGAGCUAGUCGAGCUGGGGAGGAGGAACCCCGAGUACCUACAGAGGAGGAGCCCCGAGACAUUCAUGUCGUCAGGGAGCAGUUGGUACGGAGAGAGCCAUCUCCUUU
This 251-nucleotide long non-coding RNA is filed under the name Panax ginseng (ginseng). RNAcentral's name for it is "long non-coding RNA (PGIN_LNC006957)". The record is from RNAcentral. Lineage: Eukaryota; Viridiplantae; Streptophyta; Magnoliopsida; Apiales; Araliaceae.